Molecule: long non-coding RNA, 955 nt
Organism: Lolium rigidum
Lineage: Eukaryota; Viridiplantae; Streptophyta; Magnoliopsida; Poales; Poaceae
Exons: 5
Source: RefSeq, a predicted model, not a curated record
GUUCUACCCCCCUACUCUGCCUCUCGCCACUGCCGCAACGGCCGGCCCCUCCCCUGCCUCGCCGCUGCUCACCGGAAGCCAAGCGAGCAUGUUGGCAUGUGCUUUUCAUCAUUCUGCCGGCAUGUAGAAGCUCAUCAUUUAUACUUGCUGAACUACUUGCAUUGGGGUGCACCGAAGAUGUGGUAUGAAGUUCCAGGAUAGGAUGCUGUGAAUCUGAAGUCUGCAUCGAGGAGACAUCUACUUGACUUGUUUGAGAUCAACCUGAUUUGCUUCACAACCUGGAUCAGUUAUGAUGAUGAACUGAAGAAGCAGCACCUAAUGCUUCUCCACAAUGGAUUGUACCGUCUUAUCACGGGCGAGGCUUCAAAUGUUCAGUUUAUGCCUGAGUGCUUAUGGUACAUAUUCCACUAUGUAAGGAACAUUUCCAGAAGCAGAGGAUAGAGAAUUGAAUGGGUUCCUCAGAGCCUACACCUUACUAGGUCAAUCCGAUAGCCUACCUCAGGAAUCUGGGGUGGACCAUAACAUCCAAGUUUCGCCUCCACUCAUCAAAUCUCAUUGAGAAGUAUAAAUCACUGUGACCUGUUUAACAUCUGACGAGUUGAAGUGCAAGAGGAAAGCUUGUACAGUUCUUUUUUGGGUUGUUGUAGCCUUAGCUUUUUUCCUGUCUUUCUGUCGGGAUUUCUGUCGUUAUUUCGACACUCUUAUAUGUUUGAGAUCAAGCCGUGUUGGGCUGAGCUUUGUGUGGCAGCAUAGUGGCGACAGGAUUCUUUGUUCCCCAUGCAUCAUACACAUUACAGUUACAUAUAUACUUGUAUCUAAAUGGCUGGAAGUCGCAUGAUGUAUAUCUUUUUUUAGAAAAAGUAGCAUAGUGCUGUUUUCAUUGGUAAAGAAGGAGAAAGUCAAAUAUUACCUACAUCCAAGUCAAAUACUGAAAGUAUUAGCGUUUGGGGGCUGU